AUUGAACGCUGGCGGAAUGCUUUACACAUGCAAGUCGAACGGCAGCACGGGGCAACCUGGUGGCGAGUGGCGAACGGGUGAGUAAUAUAUCGGAACGUGCCCAAUCGUGGGGGAUAACGUAGCGAAAGUUACGCUAAUACCGCAUACGAUCUACGGAUGAAAGCGGGGGAUCGCAAGACCUCGCGCGAAUGGAGCGGCCGAUAUCAGAUUAGGUAGUUGGUGGGGUAAAGGCUCACCAAGCCAACGAUCUGUAGCUGGUCUGAGAGGACGACCAGCCACACUGGAACUGAGACACGGUCCAGACUCCUACGGGAGGCAGCAGUGGGGAAUUUUGGACAAUGGGCGCAAGCCUGAUCCAGCCAUUCCGCGUGCAGGAUGAAGGCCUUCGGUUGUAAGCU
RNAcentral lists this ribosomal RNA (398 nucleotides) under uncultured bacterium. RNAcentral describes it as "bacterial SSU rRNA". It matches the Rfam family "Bacterial small subunit ribosomal RNA", at positions 30 to 431 of the family's 1533-position model. The record is from RNAcentral.